RNAcentral lists this ribosomal RNA (1509 nucleotides) under uncultured prokaryote. RNAcentral describes it as "partial 16S ribosomal RNA". It matches the Rfam family "Bacterial small subunit ribosomal RNA". The record is from RNAcentral.
AGAGUUUGAUCAUGGCUCAGAUUGAACGCUGGCGGUAUGCUUAACACAUGCAAGUCGAACGGAAACGAUGGUAGCUUGCUACCAGGCGUCAAGUGGGGACGGGUGAGUAACGCGUAGGAAUCUGCCCAGUAGUGGGGGACAACCAGGGGAAACCCUGGCUAAUACCGCAUACACUCUACGGAGAAAAGGAGGCCUCUUCUUGAAAGCUUUCGCUAUUGGAUGAGCCUGCGUGAGAUUAGCUAGUUGGUAGGGUAAAGGCCUACCAAGGCGACGAUCUCUAGCUGGUCUGAGAGGACGAUCAGCCACACUGGGACUGAGACACGGCCCAGACUCCUACGGGAGGCAGCAGUGGGGAAUAUUGGACAAUGGGCGCAAGCCUGAUCCAGCAAUACCGCGUGUGUGAAGAAGGCCCUAGGGUUGUAAAGCACUUUCAGCAGUGAAGAAAUGCUUAAGGUUAAUAACCUUGAGUCUUGACGUUAACUGCACAAGAAGCACCGGCUAACUCCGUGCCAGCAGUUGCGGUAAUACGGGGGGUGCAAGCGUUAAUCGGAUUUACUGGGCGUAAAGCGCGCGUAGGUGGUUUGUUAAGCGAGAUGUGAGAGCCCUGGGCUCAACCUGGGAACUGCAUUUAGAACUGGAUAGCUAGAGUAUGGUAGAGGAGUGUGGAAUUUCAGGUGUAGCGGUGAAAUGCGUAGAGAUCUGAAGGAACAUCAGUGGCGAAGGCGACACUCUGGACCAAUACUGACGCUGAGGUGCGAAAGCGUGGGUAGCAAACAGGAUUAGAUACCCUGGUAGUCCACGCCGUAAACGAUGUCUACUAGCCGUUGGGUUCCUUGAGGACUUAGUGGCGCAGCUAACGCAUUAAGUAGACCGCCUGGGGAGUACGGCCGCAAGGUUAAAACUCAAAUGAAUUGACGGGGAACCGCACAAGCGGUGUAGCAUGUGGUUUAAUUCGAUGCAACGUGAAGAACCUUACCAGAUCUUGACAUCCUACUAAGUUUCCAGAGAUGGAUUCGUGCCUUCUUCGGGGAACUCAGUGACAGGUGCUGCAUGGCUGUCGUCAGCUCGUGCCGUGAGGUGUUGGGUUAAGUCCCGCAACGAGCGCAACCCCUAUCUUUAGUUGCCAGCGAGUAAUGUCGGGGACUCUAGAGAGACUGCCAGUGUAAUAAACUGGAGGAAGGUGGGGACGACGUCAAGUCAUCAUGGUCCUUAUGUCCAGGGCUACACACGUGCUACAAUGGCCGGUACAGAGGGAAGCAAUACCGCGAGGUGGAGCCAAUCUCAGAAAGCCGGUCUCAGUUCGGAUUGGAGUCUGCAACUCGACUCCAUGAAGUUGGAAUCGCUAGUAAUCGCGUAUCAGCAUAACGCGGUGAAUACGUUCCCGGGCCUUGUACACACCGCCCGUCAAGUCAGCCGAGUUGAUUGCACCCGAAGAAGGUGAGCUAACCGCAAGGAGGCAGCUUUCGAAGGUGUGAUUAGCAAGGGGGACUAAGUCGGAACAAGGUAACC